GGAGGCGUGGCUGAGUGGUCGAUAGCGGCGGUCUUGAAAACCGUUGAGCCGCAAGGUUCCGUGGGUUCGAAUCCUACCGCCUCCGCCA
This 88-nucleotide transfer RNA is filed under the name Blastochloris viridis. Its description in RNAcentral is "tRNA-Ser". It matches the Rfam family "tRNA". Rfam says of the family: Transfer RNA (tRNA) molecules are approximately 80 nucleotides in length. Their secondary structure includes four short double-helical elements and three loops (D, anti-codon, and T loops). The record is from RNAcentral. Lineage: Bacteria; Pseudomonadati; Pseudomonadota; Alphaproteobacteria; Hyphomicrobiales; Blastochloridaceae.